Molecule: long non-coding RNA, 977 nt
Filed under: Marmota monax (woodchuck)
Lineage: Eukaryota; Metazoa; Chordata; Mammalia; Rodentia; Sciuridae
Source: RNAcentral
CCUAGAUGGCAGAAGUGCCCAGCUUGAUCCAUGGACUCAUGAGAAAUAAUAUUUGUCAUUCUGGGUCAAUAAGUUUGGGGUGUUUUGUUGCCCAGCACAAACGUUCCCAUGUGACUCGGUGGCUUCAACUGGUAGGGGGCUAUCUGUCCUACAGUACAAGUACAGAGGUGAGCAGUUCUACACUCUUGGGUGGCUCCAGGCACCCCUUGCUCUUGUCUUUCCGGUCUACUCUCCUUGGUGGGGGAGCUCUGGCUGCUGCUUCUUCUUUUUUUUUGGUUCCCGGGGAUUGAACUCAGGGACACUCGACCACUGAGCCAUGUCCCCAGUCCUAUUGUGUAUUUUAUUUAGAGACAGGGUCUCACUGAGUUGCUUAGCACCUCACCAUUGCUGAGGCUGGCUUUGAACUCACGAUCCUCCUUUCUCAGCCUCCCGAGCCUUGCUGGCUUCUUGCUUUUUAUCUGAUGAUCCCCAAAACAGUUUGCUCUUGCACCAAACCUGAGCCCCAGGACCAAAAGGGGGCAGGGGGCAAAGGGGCAAAGCUUUCUCCAAGGGAAGCCCUCCUGGGGCUUUCCUUUAUGUCCUUGGGCAGAGCUCACACUGCGCCCUUGCUAGCUGCAAGGGAGGCGGGGAAAUCGAGGGCGCAGCAUUCAGCCUCUGAGGCAGGAUACGCUCGUUGGCGCCCCCUGGUGCCUGCAGCACCCGCUCGCUUGGGGGCUCCGGGUUCCUGGUCUCUCUACUCUUUGCAGCUCCGACCUUCUGUUUCUGAACACCGUGCUACAGGAAAGGUCCUCGCCAGCCUUGGAGCGGCACCUUCUCUCUCUGCCCCAGCUCCACCACUGUCCUGAAUGGCACCCUAAGCGCAGAGAUGCUGAUUGGCCCGGCUGGAAUUAGGAGGGAAAUCGGAUUGGCCUGGCUGGGGUUGGGUAACUACCACCCAGCCAAUCAGCGACGGCCAAGGGAGCCGCUCAGGGGAGGGA